This 218-nucleotide ribosomal RNA is filed under the name uncultured bacterium. RNAcentral's name for it is "partial 16S ribosomal RNA". It matches the Rfam family "Bacterial small subunit ribosomal RNA", at positions 116 to 334 of the family's 1533-position model. The record is from RNAcentral.
CGUAUACAAUCUGCCUAUAACUGGAGGAUAGCCCGGAGAAAUUCGGAUUAAUACUCCAUAACAUAAUGGUGUGGCAUCACAUUAUUAUUAAAGCUCCGGCGGUUAUAGAUGAGUAUGCGGAUGAUUAGCUAGUUGGUGAGGUAAUGGCUCACCAAGGCUACGAUCAAUAGGGGUACUGAGAGGUUAAACCCCCACACUGGUACUGAGACACGGACCAG